UGCUUCUAUGACGUUAGCGGCGGACGGGUGAGUAACACGUGGGCAACCUGCCUGUAAGACUGGGAUAACUUCGGGAAACCGAAGCUAAUACCGGAUAGGAUCUUCUCCUUCAUGGGAGAUGAUUGAAAGAUGGUUUCGGCUAUCACUUACAGAUGGGCCCGCGGUGCAUUAGCUAGUUGGUGAGGUAACGGCUCACCAAGGCAACGAUGCAUAGCCGACCUGAGAGGGUGAUCGGCCACACUGGGACUGAGACACGGCCCAGACUCCUACGGGAGGCAGCAGUAGGGAAUCUUCCGCAAUGGACGAAAGUCUGACGGAGCAACGCCGCGUGAGUGAUGAAGGCUUUCGGGUCGUAAAACUCUGUUGUUAGGGAAGAACAAGUACAAGAGUAACUGCUUGUACCUUGACGGUACCUAACCAGAAAGCCACGGCUAACUACGUGCCAGCAGCCGCGGUAAUACGUAGGUGGCAAGCGUUAUCCGGAAUUAUUGGGCGUAAAGCGCGCGCAGGCGGUUUCUUAAGUCUGAUGUGAAAGCCCACGGCUCAACCGUGGAGGGUCAUUGGAAACUGGGGAACUUGAGUGCAGAAGAGAAAAGCGGAAUUCCACGUGUAGCGGUGAAAUGCGUAGAGAUGUGGAGGAACACCAGUGGCGAAGGCGGCUUU
Molecule: ribosomal RNA, 663 nt
Filed under: Priestia megaterium
Lineage: Bacteria; Bacillati; Bacillota; Bacilli; Caryophanales; Bacillaceae
Description: bacterial SSU rRNA
Rfam family: Bacterial small subunit ribosomal RNA
Source: RNAcentral